AUCCCCGACCUCACCCCCCUCCAAUACUUCUACGAGCUCGACGUCAGCAACAACAACAUGUCCGGCUCCUUCCCCGGCAACGUCCUCCCCCUCGCCAACCUCACCUUCCUCGACCUCCGCUUCAACCUCUUCGCCGGCACCGUGCCUUCCUCCAUCUUCAAUAUCGCCCUCGACGUCCUUUUCCUCAACAACAACAACUUCAACCAACCCCUGCCUGCCAACCUCGGCUAUACGACGGUGGCCUAUUUAACCUUGGCCAACAAUGGCUUCACCGGCCCCAUCCCGAAAUCCAUAUCCAAGGCCGGGAGCACUCUUCUCGAAG
RNAcentral lists this long non-coding RNA (322 nucleotides) under Phoenix dactylifera (date palm). Its description in RNAcentral is "long non-coding RNA (PDAC_LNC000288)". The record is from RNAcentral. Lineage: Eukaryota; Viridiplantae; Streptophyta; Magnoliopsida; Arecales; Arecaceae.